GCCUGAGUGGCUCAGUGGUUGAGCGUCUGCCUUCAGCCCAGAGUGUGAUCUCAGAGUUCUGGGAUCAAGUCCCACAUCGGGCU
This 83-nucleotide transfer RNA is filed under the name Canis lupus familiaris (dog). It matches the Rfam family "tRNA". Rfam says of the family: Transfer RNA (tRNA) molecules are approximately 80 nucleotides in length. Their secondary structure includes four short double-helical elements and three loops (D, anti-codon, and T loops). The record is from Rfam by way of RNAcentral. Lineage: Eukaryota; Metazoa; Chordata; Mammalia; Carnivora; Canidae. RNAcentral also lists the same sequence under 1 other name.